Oncorhynchus tshawytscha (Chinook salmon) is the source of this 725-nucleotide long non-coding RNA. The record is from Ensembl. Lineage: Eukaryota; Metazoa; Chordata; Actinopteri; Salmoniformes; Salmonidae.
GAUUGAUUGAGGAUGCCUGCUCCCAUUUUGUGGGAAUCGGCUGUUUGGUGUCUUGUAUUUUCCAUACCAGACUGAGGUUAUUAUUUUGCCUCCUGGCGUGAAGCAAUACGAAUCUACAUCUUUAGGGGCCGAUGAAUAAACGAGAUGAUGAACGAGAACGAGGAAGUCGCGCUUGUGGGAUGGGGAGUUCACAAUAACAGCUGAAAUGUCCACUCAAUCCACGCCGCCUGUCAUUGAAUGACAGUCACUGAGCGGAAGACAGAGAGGCGUCUCCACCGUGCGGCGCCACGAUUGAUGCGACACAGUACACCUGAGGAGUGGACUGAUACCUGCGGAGAGUAGACUCUUCUCCAAAACCAGCUCGCCAACAUGGGAUUAUCACCUUCUAGUCUCCUAGAUGAACAUGGAUCCAACUACAUACGAGCGCCAUUGUCUUGGGUCUGCUUCUGGGAUUAGGUCCAUUGUCCUCGGUGGUGGUCCAAACAGAGGAUCUGCUUUGGGAAAGUCUUAUUCCUGGUCGUACCGUUGGUUGUGACCCCUUGAGCAAGAGAGAGAGUGAGAGUCAGAGUGAGAGAGAGCGAGAGCCAAAGAGACAGAGACUGGAUGACCUUGGGCUCAAUAAAGAGAAAAUGUAAAGCUUCCAAAGCUCAGUGAAACCGGGAGCAGUAUCACACCCCCAAAAAAUGUGAGCUUAGCAGCUCAGGUAUGGCUGUGGCUAGGACCAG